GAUGAACGCUGGCGGCGUGCCUAAUACAUGCAAGUCGAGCGAACGGACGAGAAGCUUGCUUCUCUGAUGUUAGCGGCGGACGGGUGAGUAACACGUGGAUAACCUACCUAUAAGACUGGGAUAACUUCGGCAAACCGGAGCUAAUACCGGAUAAUAUUUUGAACCGCAUGGUUCAAAAGUGAAAGACGGUCUUGCUGUCACUUAUAGAUGGAUCCGCGCUGCAUUAGCUAGUUGGUAAGGUAACGGCUUACCAAGGCAACGAUGCAUAGCCGACCUGAGAGGGUGAUCGGCCACACUGGAACUGAGACACGGUCCAGACUCCUACGGGAGGCAGCAGUAGGGAAUCUUCCGCAAUGGGCGAAAGCCUGACGGAGCAACGCCGCGUGAGUGAUGAAGGUCUUCGGAUCGUAAAACUCUGUUAUUAGGGAAGAACAUAUGUGUAAGUAACUGUGCACAUCUUGACGGUACCUAAUCAGGAAGCCACGGCUAACUACGUG
RNAcentral lists this ribosomal RNA (497 nucleotides) under uncultured bacterium. RNAcentral describes it as "partial 16S ribosomal RNA". It matches the Rfam family "Bacterial small subunit ribosomal RNA", at positions 28 to 507 of the family's 1533-position model. The record is from RNAcentral.